CACAUUUUCAUCUUGAUUAAGGGUACAUGAUAAUGACAACGAUGGAUCAUAACAAGCUUGCAUGUUUGAGGUUAUAAGCUUUUUUUUUGUCACUCAACAUUUCAUUGCGUCUAAUUGGCGGUGUCUGCCUUGCUUGUUUAAUAUUUUCCAUGUCAGCUCCUCGUGUCAUACGAAAAUUAACGCAUGUGGUACUAUCAUAAAGAUGAAACAUAAAUUUUUAUCGUCCAUCAACAACCUACAUAAGAAAACCCAUAGCUUGUUUUCAAAAAGUGUACCUCGUAUCACAUGGCAAGGUUGAUGAACAUUCGUGAUAUCAUUAAAGAGCCCUGUGACAUGAGAGUCAGCAUUCUAGAAUAAGGCAGCACGUUUUCAUACUAAAAAGAAUGACGAAACAUAUCACAAUCUUACUUGUCGUCGUUUG
Molecule: long non-coding RNA, 421 nt
Filed under: Hordeum vulgare
Lineage: Eukaryota; Viridiplantae; Streptophyta; Magnoliopsida; Poales; Poaceae
Description: long non-coding RNA (HVUL_LNC007881)
Source: RNAcentral